GAUGAACGCUGGCGGCGUGCUUAACACAUGCAAGUCGAACGAAGCACUUUAUUUGAUUUCCUUCGGGACUGAUUAUUUUGUGACUGAGUGGCGGACGGGUGAGUAACGCGUGGGUAACCUGCCUUGUACAGGGGGAUAACAGUUGGAAACGGCUGCUAAUACCGCAUAAGCGCACAGCAUCGCAUGAUGCAGUGUGAAAAACUCCGGUGGUAUAAGAUCGACCCGCGUUGGAUUAGCUAGUUGGUGAGGUAACGGCCCACCAAGGCGACGAUCCAUAGCCGACCUGAGAGGGUGACCGGCCACAUUGGGACUGAGACACGGCCCAAACUCCUACGGGAGGCAGCAGUGGGGAAUAUUGCACAAUGGGCGAAAGCCUGAUGCAGCGACGCCGCGUGAGCGAAGAAGUAUUUCGGUAUGUAAAGCUCUAUCAGCAGGGAAGAUAAUGACGGUACCUGACGAAGAAGCACCGGCUAAAUACGUG
RNAcentral lists this ribosomal RNA (481 nucleotides) under uncultured bacterium. RNAcentral describes it as "partial 16S ribosomal RNA". It matches the Rfam family "Bacterial small subunit ribosomal RNA", at positions 28 to 507 of the family's 1533-position model. The record is from RNAcentral.